RNAcentral lists this ribosomal RNA (433 nucleotides) under uncultured bacterium. RNAcentral's name for it is "partial 16S ribosomal RNA". It matches the Rfam family "Bacterial small subunit ribosomal RNA", at positions 29 to 507 of the family's 1533-position model. The record is from RNAcentral.
AGCGAACGCUGGCGGCAGGCCUAACACAUGCAAGUCGAACGAACUCUUCGGAGUUAGUGGCGGACGGGUGAGUAACACGUGGGAACGUGCCUUUUGGUUCGGAAUAACUCAGGGAAACUUGUGCUAAUACCGAAUGUGCCCUUCGGGGGAAAGAUUUAUCGCCAUUAGAGCGGCCCGCGUCUGAUUAGCUAGAUGGUGAGGUAACGGCUCACCAAGGCGACGAUCAGUAGCUGGUCUGAGAGGAUGACCAGCCACACUGGGACUGAGACACGGCCCAGACUCCUACGAGAGGCAGCAGUGGGGAAUCUUGCGCAAUGGGCGAAAGCCUGACGCAGCCAUGCCGCGUGAAUGAUGAAGGUCUUAGGAUUGUAAAAUUCUUUCACCGGGGACGAUAAUGACGGUACCCGGAGAAGAAGCCCCGGCUAACUUCGUG